GGGUAGGCAAAAAUGUUAAAUUUACAGUUGAACAUACUUAAAAGUGAAGUAUGUAUACGAUCGAAAUCGGAGAGCUCGAUUUUGAGAACUUAACGGUACCUCGGGCUCCAGUUCGGACAACACGAAGUAAAGACCAAAUCUGGCUGGAAAAUGCAUAUAUAUCUCGAGGGAGCAAAUCGAAGACCCGUCAUGAUCUGCCUCGAGGACAGUACAAUUUCGAUGAUAUUAAAGAAAGAGCAGAAUUUCUUAAUGGCAUAAAUAUCUAAGGAUAAGAUUUGUACGAGUUGGUACAUGUCCAUACUAGGUUGUUAUACAGUUGUACCAAUAGAAUUCUUUACCACAAUUAGGAAUGUACUAUAUAGGGGUUUUCUCCUCCUAUAUAAAGGGGGC
RNAcentral lists this long non-coding RNA (390 nucleotides) under Nicotiana benthamiana. RNAcentral describes it as "long non-coding RNA (NBEN_LNC035173)". Lineage: Eukaryota; Viridiplantae; Streptophyta; Magnoliopsida; Solanales; Solanaceae. The record is from RNAcentral.